Molecule: ribosomal RNA, 253 nt
Filed under: uncultured bacterium
Lineage: Bacteria
Description: partial 16S ribosomal RNA
Rfam family: Bacterial small subunit ribosomal RNA
Source: RNAcentral
GACGAACCGUCCUAACGUUGUUCGGAAUCACUGGGCUUAAAGGGCGCGUAGGCGGUCGGCAAAGUCAGGGGUGAAAUCUUUCGGCUUAACCGGAAAAGUGCCUUUGAAACUAGUCGACUCGAGCGAGAUAGGGGCAUGUGGAACUUCCGGUGGAGCGGUGAAAUGCGUUGAUAUCGGAAGGAACGCCGGUGGCGAAAGCGACAUGCUGGAUCUCUUCUGACGCUGAGGCGCGAAAGCCAGGGGAGCAAACGGG